AGGUAAGCUACUAAGAGCGAAUGGUGGAUGCCUUGACUGGUAAAGGCGAUGAAGGACGUACUAGACUGCGAUAAGCUACGGGGAGCUGUCAAGAAGCUUUGAUCCGUAGAUUUCCGAAUGGGGCAACCCAAUGUAUAGAGAUAUACAUUACCUAUAUAGGAGCGAACGAGGGGAAUUGAAACAUCUUAGUACCCUCAGGAAAAGAAAUCAAUAGAGAUUGCGUCAGUAGCGGCGAGCGAAAGCGCAAGAGGGCAAACCCAGUGCUUGCACUGGGGGUUGUAGGACUGCAAUGUGCAAGAGCUGAGUUUAGCAGAACAUUCUGGAAAGUAUAGCCAUAGAGGGUGAUAGUCCCGUAUGCGAAAAACAAAGCUUAGCUAGCAGUAUCCUGAGUAGGGCGGGACACGAGAAAUCCUGUCUGAAUCCGGGUCGACCACGAUCCAACCCUAAAUACUAAUACCAGAUCGAUAGUGCACAAGUACCGUGAGGGAAAGGUGAAAAGAACUGAGGUGAUCAGAGUGAAAUAGAACCUGAAACCAUUUGCUUACAAUCAUUCAGAGCCCUAUGUAGCAAUACAG
RNAcentral lists this ribosomal RNA (575 nucleotides) under Campylobacter jejuni. RNAcentral describes it as "partial 23S ribosomal RNA". It matches the Rfam family "Bacterial large subunit ribosomal RNA", at positions 1 to 591 of the family's 2925-position model. Lineage: Bacteria; Pseudomonadati; Campylobacterota; Epsilonproteobacteria; Campylobacterales; Campylobacteraceae. The record is from RNAcentral.